UGAACGCUGGCGGCGUGCUUAACACAUGCAAGUCGUACGAGAACACCCUAGCUUGCUAGGGUAAGUAAAGUGGCGCACGGGUGAGUAACGCGUGGGUAAUCUACCUUCGAAUUGGGGAUAACGUUGCGAAAGCGACGCUAAUACCGAAUAACAUCCAUUUGUCUUCGGGUUUUUGGAUCAAGGGUGGCCUCUACAUGUAAGCUACUGUUUGAAGAUGAGCCCGCGUACCAUUAGCUUGUUGGUGGGGUAAUGGCCUACCAAGGCAACGAUGGUUAGCUGGUCUGAGAGGAUGAUCAGCCACACUGGAACUGACACACGGUCCAGACUCCUACGGGAGGCAGCAGUGAGGAAUUUUGCGCAAUGGGCGAAAGCCUGACGCAGCAACGCCGCGUGAGUGAUGAAGGCUUUCGGGUCGUAAAGCUCUGUCAAGUGGGAAGAACCUGCAGUAUGUUAAUACCAUAUUGCACUGACGGUACCACUGAAGGAAGCACCGGCUAACUCC
RNAcentral lists this ribosomal RNA (502 nucleotides) under uncultured bacterium. Its description in RNAcentral is "bacterial SSU rRNA". It matches the Rfam family "Bacterial small subunit ribosomal RNA", at positions 30 to 504 of the family's 1533-position model. The record is from RNAcentral.